AGCUGUGUUGUUUCACUUUGUAAUGGAUUUGGAUGACCAUAUUGAUUUCUUAUUUCUGUCAUUCGCAGGUUUUCCGUGUUGCUUCAAUCAUUGCAACAUUAUAUACAAUUCAAAAUGCAAUUGGCUCGGCUGCAAUCACUAGAGUUUCAAAUGCACUAGGAGCUGGACAUCCACAAGCAACACAAUUGUUUGUGUAUGCUGCUAUGACUCCUGCUGUUUCCAAUGCAAUUUUGAUUAGUUCCACCAUUUUUCUCUCUCGACGGAUUGUCGGUUAUAUAUUUAGCAACAGGCAGGAUAUCCUUGUAAACCAAAACGAUAGAACUAACUUUGUUUGCUGUCAUGGCAGGAUGUCCUUGUAAACCAAUAUAGUAGAACUCACUCUGUUUGCUGUCAUAGCAGGAUGGGUGUUUGAUUGGGUUCUGCAGUAAGCUUGUCAUGCACGUCGGGUGGGAUUUAUGCCAAUGACUUUGGUAUGUUGUAGGCCUGUGGUAGACUCAUUGCUUGGAACCGAAAUCUGUUAGAAUUCAGGCACAAGAUUUACGGUGCGGAUGGUCCUGGUGUAUAAUGCAUUUGGCUUUGAUGUAGACUGCUGUGCUUAUCUGGUCGUGGCUUGAUGGUCAUUAGAUUUUGAAGUGUAUUUCUUUCAUUUGGCCCACUGUAAUGUAUUUUUAGGACCUAAGAUUGCUGUGAACGGUCUUGUGGUAUUGUGGUAUUUGAAACAACUAUGUUUGUAAAAAUCCAAAAUUUGUUCAGCUAAUGUAAUUUCUACAUUGAUGUCUUUAA
Lathyrus oleraceus (garden pea) is the source of this 783-nucleotide long non-coding RNA. RefSeq lists it as uncharacterized. The transcript is spliced from 2 exons. The record is from RefSeq and is a predicted model, not a curated record. NCBI's taxonomy places the organism in Eukaryota, Viridiplantae, Streptophyta, Magnoliopsida, Fabales, Fabaceae.